RNAcentral lists this non-coding RNA (161 nucleotides) under Trichinella papuae. Its description in RNAcentral is "Archaeal large subunit ribosomal RNA". The stretch from base 1 to 128 matches the Rfam family "Archaeal large subunit ribosomal RNA", at positions 2578 to 2708 of the family's 2987-position model. Lineage: Eukaryota; Metazoa; Nematoda; Enoplea; Trichinellida; Trichinellidae. The record is from Rfam by way of RNAcentral.
CCCUUUAGAUUGUGACCUCGAUGUUGAAUCAAGGAUUAUUAGUCGCAGAAGACUAACAAGUUUCGUCUGUUCGACGAUUCAAAAAUACGUGAUUUGAGUUUAAACCGUCGCAAGACAGGUUGGAUUCUCUUUAAAGCUGUAUCACACAACUACUAUUAGUA